GAUGAAGAACGUAGCGAAAUGCGAUACGUAAUGUGAAUUGCAGAAUUCAGUGAAUCAUCGAAUCUUUGAACGCAUAUUGCGCUCUUUGGUAUUCCGAAGAGCAUGCUUGUUUGAGUAUCAGUAAACACCUCAAAAGACUUUCAUUUUUGAAAUGAUUUUGGACUUGAGCAAUCCCAACACCAGUCUUCACGGAUCGGCGGAGGGUUGCUUGAAAUGCAGGUGCAGCUGGACAUUCUCCUGAGCUAAAAGCAUAUCUAUUUAGUCCCGUCAAACGGAUUAUUACUUUUGCUGCAGCUAACAUAAAGGGAGUUUGACCAUUUUGGCUGACUGAUGCAGGAUUUCACAAGGGUCGGUAAAACGAUUUUUGUAAAACUCAAUCUCAAAUCAAGUAAGACUACCCGCUGAACUUAAGCAUAUCAAAAGCGGAGGA
RNAcentral lists this unclassified non-coding RNA (430 nucleotides) under soil metagenome. RNAcentral describes it as "partial contains 5.8S ribosomal RNA, internal transcribed spacer 2, and large subunit ribosomal RNA". The stretch from base 1 to 120 matches the Rfam family "5.8S ribosomal RNA", at positions 35 to 154 of the family's 154-position model. The record is from RNAcentral.